Molecule: ribosomal RNA, 626 nt
Filed under: uncultured bacterium
Lineage: Bacteria
Description: bacterial SSU rRNA
Rfam family: Bacterial small subunit ribosomal RNA (bases 1-541)
Source: RNAcentral
CCUACGGGAGGCAGCAGUGGGGAAUUUUGGACAAUGGGCGAAAGCCUGAUCCAGCAAUGCCGCGUGAGUGAAGAAGGCCUUCGGGUUGUAAAGCUCUUUUGUCAGGGAAGAAACGGUGAGAGCUAAUAUCUCUUGCUAAUGACGGUACCUGAAGAAUAAGCACCGGCUAACUACGUGCCAGCAGCCGCGGUAAUACGUAGGGUGCAAGCGUUAAUCGGAAUUACUGGGCGUAAAGCGUGCGCAGGCGGUUUUGUAAGUCUGAUGUGAAAUCCCCGGGCUCAACCUGGGAAUUGCAUUGGAGACUGCAAGGCUAGAAUCUGGCAGAGGGGGGUAGAAUUCCACGUGUAGCAGUGAAAUGCGUAGAUAUGUGGAGGAACACCGAUGGCGAAGGCAGCCCCCUGGGUCAAGAUUGACGCUCAUGCACGAAAGCGUGGGGAGCAAACAGGAUUAGAUACCCUGGUAGUCCACGCCCUAAACGAUGUCUACUAGUUGUCGGGUCUUAAUUGACUUGGUAACGCGAGCUACGCGUGAGUAGACCGCCGUCGGGAGGUACGGUCGCGAGAGUUAAACGUACAAGUAGAGUUAGAGGACGUGAGACGNGCGACGGACGACGACGAGGGAGGAGG